RNAcentral lists this non-coding RNA (92 nucleotides) under Thalassospira lucentensis. Its description in RNAcentral is "Glycine riboswitch". It matches the Rfam family "Glycine riboswitch aptamer", at positions 7 to 90 of the family's 94-position model. From Rfam's summary of the family: This family represents the bacterial glycine riboswitch. Glycine riboswitches usually consist of two metabolite-binding aptamers domains with similar structures in tandem. RNAcentral also lists the same sequence under 1 other name. Lineage: Bacteria; Pseudomonadati; Pseudomonadota; Alphaproteobacteria; Rhodospirillales; Thalassospiraceae. The record is from RNAcentral.
CCCGUGGGAGAGUGCCACGGUCCAUAACGGAUUGCGCGGACGCCGAAGGAGCAACCACCCCGGAAACUCUCAGGCAAACGGACCGCGGGGAG